Molecule: ribosomal RNA, 303 nt
Filed under: Triticum aestivum (bread wheat)
Lineage: Eukaryota; Viridiplantae; Streptophyta; Magnoliopsida; Poales; Poaceae
Description: partial small subunit ribosomal RNA
Source: RNAcentral
AUGGCUAAUAAAUCAACUGCUAUACCUGUCGGUAUUUGUGAGGAUGUGCCUGUUGUGGUUGCAAAUGUCACUAUCUUAACAGACUUUGUUAUUCUUGAUAUUCCUGAGGACGAUAGUAUGUCGAUUAUCCUUGGUAGACCCUUUUUGAAUACUGCAGGGGCUGUUAUUGAUUGCAACAAAGGCAAUGUCACUUUUCAAGUUAAUUGUAAUGAGCAUACAGUACUCUUUCCAAGGAAACAGCCUCAAGUUCAUAUCAUCAAUUCUAUUGGAAAAAUUCCAACUAUCAUUAUUGGAGGUUUUUAA